RNAcentral lists this non-coding RNA (86 nucleotides) under Aeromonas schubertii. Its description in RNAcentral is "c-di-GMP sequence". It matches the Rfam family "c-di-GMP-I riboswitch aptamer". Rfam says of the family: GEMM was predicted in a large-scale screen for bacterial structured RNA regulatory elements. Lineage: Bacteria; Pseudomonadati; Pseudomonadota; Gammaproteobacteria; Aeromonadales; Aeromonadaceae. The record is from RNAcentral.
CAGGUCAUUUGGCAAACUGACUCGAAAGGUCAGGACGCAAAGCCUCCGGUCUAACGGCACAUGCCCAUGAUAGCGGGGUUGCCAUU